RNAcentral lists this ribosomal RNA (153 nucleotides) under uncultured bacterium. RNAcentral's name for it is "partial 16S ribosomal RNA". It matches the Rfam family "Bacterial small subunit ribosomal RNA", at positions 314 to 484 of the family's 1533-position model. The record is from RNAcentral.
CGGGGCGGGGACACGGGGGGACUCCUACGGGAGGCAGACAGUGGGGAAUAUUGCACAAUGGGCGGAAGCCUGAUGCAGAUACGCCGCGUGAGUGAAGAAGGUUUUCGGAUUGUAAAGCUCUGUCAUAUGGGAUGAUAGUGACGGUACCAUAUG